CGCCCCGGGACCUUUUUGGCUCCUCCAGCCUCGAGUUCCAGGUGAGAUUUUGGGGAAUUUUGGGGAUUUUUUGGGAUUAUCCCAAAUAUUUUGGGGUUUUCCUUCCUCUCUUCUCUUUCCAGACUUUCUGAAGACGAAAUUCCGAAUUUCCCUCCGAGGUUUUUCCCGUUUUUUGGCGUUUUCACCCCAAAAUUCCCGUUUUUAUCCCAGUUCAAACCCCAAAUUUGAGCUUUUUUUGGGAAUUUUGGGAUUUAUUCCGAAUAUUUUGGGGUUCCCGCCCCCUUUAUCUCCUCCAGGUUUUCCCAGGCUGGAAUUCCCAAUUUCCCGCCUCAGUUUUUUCCCAUUUUUUGAGGUUUUCACCCGAAAAUUCAGUUAAAAAAUGAGCGUUUUUGGAGGUUUUGGGGGAAUUUUUGGGAUUUCUCCCAAAUUUUUGGGGCUCCGCAGCCCUUUCCCUCAUUUCGGAUUUUCUGGGAAUGGAAUUCCCAAAUUCCCACCCGGUUUUUUCCCCUUUUUUGCCGUUUUCACCCCAAAAUUCCCCCAAUAAAAACUGCAGCAACUCCUUCGUUCUGGGCUGUUUAUUUGGGAAUUUCCUGGGAAUUUCUCGGGAAUUCUCAGAGCCUCAUCUCGCAGUCAUGGCCGUGGGAUGUCUCCGGAAUUCCGGGAAUUCUCUGGAAUUCUCACAAUCUCAUCUUGUAGUCGCGGCCAUGGGAUGUCUCUGGAGCUCCGGAAUUCCGGGAUUUUUGGGAUUUUCUCUGGAAUUCUCACAGUCUCAUCUCGUAGUGGCGGCCGUGGGAUGUCUCCGGAAUUCCGGGAAUUCCCGGGAAUUCUCUGGAAUUGUCAGAGCCUCAUCUCACAGUCACGGCCGUGGGAUGUCUCCGGAGCUCCGGAAUUCCAGGAAUUCUCUGGAAUUCUCAGAGCCUCAUCUCGUAGUCGCAGCUGUGGGAUGUCUCCGGAAUUCCGGGAUUUUUGGGAUUUUCUCUGGAAUUCUCAGAGCCUCAUCUCGUAGUCGCGGCCGUGGCUCAGGUGCCGCAGCCAGCGCUGCGCCGCCGCCCCCGAGAGCCGCAGGAGCCGCACGCGGAGCCCGGAGCACGACACGCCGGGCAGCUCGAAGGAGGCGCGGGCGGGACCCAGCUCCAGCCGCCACGCCCGGCCCAGCGAUGACAGAUCCAGCUGGGAAUGUUCCGGAAUGUUCCGGGGGUUUUUGGGAUUUUUUGGGAUUUUUUACGGGCUGUUUCGGGGGUUUUUGGGGCUGGUUU
Molecule: long non-coding RNA, 1256 nt
Filed under: Lonchura striata (white-rumped munia)
Lineage: Eukaryota; Metazoa; Chordata; Aves; Passeriformes; Estrildidae
Description: domestica (Bengalese finch) lncRNA (ENSLSDG00000001730.1)
Source: RNAcentral